RNAcentral lists this ribosomal RNA (253 nucleotides) under uncultured bacterium. RNAcentral's name for it is "partial 16S ribosomal RNA". It matches the Rfam family "Bacterial small subunit ribosomal RNA", at positions 524 to 776 of the family's 1533-position model. The record is from RNAcentral.
UACGAAGGGGGCGAGCGUUGUUCGGAUUUACUGGGCGUAAAGGGCGCGCAGGCGGCGGAUCAAGUCAGACGUGAAAGCCCCGGGCUUAACCUGGGAACUGCGUUUGGGACUGAUUUGCUAGAGAUCGGGAGAGGAGAGUGGAAUUCCCAGUGUAGAGGUGAAAUUCGUAGAUAUCGGGAGGAACACCGGUGGCGAAGGCGGCGAUCUGGGUCGAUACUGACGCUGAGGUGCGAAAGCGUGGGGAGCAAACAGG